UACAGAGGGGGCAAGCGUUAUUCGGAAUUAUUGGGCGUAAAGGGCGCGUAGGCGGCUUUGCAAGUGGCGGGUGAAAUCCCUCGGCUUAACCGAGGAACUGCCUGCCAGACUGUGAGGCUCGAGACCGGGAGAGGUGAGUGGAAUUCCCAGUGUAGCGGUGAAAUGCGUAGAUAUUGGGAGGAACACCAGUGGCGAAGGCGGCUCACUGGACCGGAACUGACGCUGAGGCGCGAAAGCGUGGGGAGCAAACAGG
This 253-nucleotide ribosomal RNA is filed under the name uncultured bacterium. Its description in RNAcentral is "partial 16S ribosomal RNA". It matches the Rfam family "Bacterial small subunit ribosomal RNA", at positions 524 to 776 of the family's 1533-position model. The record is from RNAcentral.